This 28-nucleotide non-coding RNA is filed under the name Rattus norvegicus (Norway rat). The record is from RNAcentral. Lineage: Eukaryota; Metazoa; Chordata; Mammalia; Rodentia; Muridae.
UGCAGUGAACCUUCUGCUUACAAUAGGC